This 440-nucleotide ribosomal RNA is filed under the name uncultured bacterium. Its description in RNAcentral is "partial 16S ribosomal RNA". It matches the Rfam family "Bacterial small subunit ribosomal RNA", at positions 338 to 795 of the family's 1533-position model. The record is from RNAcentral.
CCUACGGGUGGCUGCAGUGGGGAAUAUUGCACAAUGGGGGAAACCCUGAUGCAGCGACGCCGCGUGAGUGAAGACGUAAUUCGUUUUGUAAAGCUCUAUCAGCAGGGACGAAAAUGACGGUACCUGAGUAAGAAGCCCCGGCUAACUACGUGCCAGCAGCCGCGGUAAUACGUAGGGGGCAAGCGUUCUCCGGCUUUACUGGGUGUAAAGGGAGCGUAGGCGGGAGUUUAAGUCCGGAGUGAAAGGCGGGGGCGCAACCUCCGGACUGCUCUGGAAACUGGACGGCUGGAGUGCAGGAGAGGUAAGUGGAAUUCCUAGUGGAGCGGUGAAAUGCGUAGAGAUUAGGAGGAACACCAGUGGCGAAGGCGGUUGACUGGACUGUAACUGACGUUGAGGCUCGAAAGCGUGGGGAGCAAACAGGAUUAGAUACCCCAGUAGUC